Non-coding RNA from Pelobates cultripes (western spadefoot toad), 213 nucleotides. The record is from the annotation of a GenBank genome assembly. NCBI's taxonomy places the organism in Eukaryota, Metazoa, Chordata, Amphibia, Anura, Pelobatidae.
GUCUUUUGGAGUUAAAUAAGGUGUAAGGCAGUGCUGCCACUUUAAGAAACUUCUUAGAAGUUUUAAAAUUACUCCUAUUCAUAUAAAUUGUCUAAUUUGCAAAGUGAAUUAUGAUGUGCAUUGCUGGUAAAUCUGCCAUCUGGCAAAUAUAUUGUAUAUGGAUAAUUCUACAGAGUUACAUGAUAAUGUGCUGCCCUGAUCUCCUGAUAGUAC